RNAcentral lists this ribosomal RNA (558 nucleotides) under uncultured Chalara. RNAcentral's name for it is "SSU rRNA". It matches the Rfam family "Eukaryotic small subunit ribosomal RNA", at positions 194 to 756 of the family's 1831-position model. The record is from RNAcentral. Lineage: Eukaryota; Fungi; Ascomycota; Leotiomycetes; Helotiales.
GGAAGGGGUGUAUUUAUUAGAUAAAAACCCAAUGCCCUUCGGGGCUCUGAGGUGAUUCAUAAUAACUUAACGAAUCGCAUGGCCUUGUGCCGGCGAUGGUUCAUUCAAAUUUCUGCCCUAUCAACUUUCGAUUGUAUGGUCUUGGCUUACAAUGGUUUCAACGGGUAACGGGGAAUUAGGGUUCUAUUCCGGAGAGGGAGCCUGAGAAACGGCUACCACAUCCAAGGAAGGCAGCAGGCGCGCAAAUUACCCAAUCCCGACACGGGGAGGUAGUGACAAUAAAUACUGUUACAGGGCUCUUUUGGGUCUUGUAAUUGGAAUGAGUACAAUUUAAAUCCCUUUGCGAGGAACAAUUGGAGGGCAAGUCUGGUGCCGGCAGCCGCGGUAAUUCCAGCUCCAAUAGCGUAUAUUAAAGUUGUUGAGGUUAAAAAGCUCGUAGUUGAACCUUGGGCCUAGCCGGCCGGUCCGCCUCACCGCGUGCACUGGCUCGGCUAGGCCUUUCCCUCUGGAGAACCGCAUGCCCUUCACUGGGUGUGCCGGGGAACCAGGACUUUUACA